GACGAACGCUGGCGGCGUGCCUAAUACAUGCAAGUCGAACGGUUUAGUUCCAAGAGGCUUGCCUUUUGGAACUAGACAGUGGCGGACGGGUGAGUAACACGUAGGCAACCUACCUGUCAAACCGGGAUAACCUCGGGAAACCGAAGCUAAACCCGGAUAAGCUCCUUUUUCGCAUGAAGGGGGAGUGAAAAGGUGCGACCUGAUGACAGAUGGGCCUGCGGCGCAUUAGCUAGUAGGUAGGGUAACGGCCUACCUAGGCGAUGAUGCGUAGCCGACCUGAGAGGGCGUACUGCCACACUGGGACUGAGAUACGGCCCAGACUCCUACGGGAGGCAGCAGUAGGGAAUCUUCGGCAAUGGGCGAAAGCCUGACCGAGCAACGCCGCGUGAGUGAGGAAGGCCUUCGGGUUGUAAAACUCUGUUGUUUGGGAAGAAGGGAAAGGGUAGGACCCUUAGGUGACGGUACCAAACGAGAAAGCCCCGGCUAACUACGUG
Molecule: ribosomal RNA, 494 nt
Filed under: uncultured bacterium
Lineage: Bacteria
Description: partial 16S ribosomal RNA
Rfam family: Bacterial small subunit ribosomal RNA
Source: RNAcentral